RNAcentral lists this ribosomal RNA (482 nucleotides) under uncultured bacterium. RNAcentral's name for it is "partial 16S ribosomal RNA". It matches the Rfam family "Bacterial small subunit ribosomal RNA", at positions 28 to 507 of the family's 1533-position model. The record is from RNAcentral.
GACGAACGCUGGCGGCGUGCCUAACACAUGCAAGUCGAACGGAACUGUUUUGAAAGAUUUCUUCGGAAUGAAUUUGAUUUCGUUUAGUGGCGGACGGGUGAGUAACGCGUGAGUAACCUGCCUUCAAGAGGGGAAUAACAUUCUGAAAAGAAUGCUAAUACCGCAUGACAUAUCGGAACCACAUGGUUUUGAUAUCAAAGAUUUUAUCGCUUGAAGAUGGACUCGCGUCCGAUUAGUUAGUUGGUGAGUUAACGGCUCACCAAGACCGCGAUCGGUAGCCGGACUGAGAGGAUGAGCGGCCAAAUUGGGACUGAGGCACGGCCCAGACUCCUACGGGAGGCAGCAGUGGGGGAUAGUGCGCAAUGGGGGCAACCCAGACGCAGCAACGCCGCGUGAAGGAGGAAGGUUUUCGGAGUGUAAACUUCUUUUAUUAAGGACGAAAAAUGACGGUACUUAAUGAAUAAGCUCCGGCUAACUACGUG